CACAACCAAAAGUAACUACUAUGUGCAAUGAAGUUAAAAACUAUUUGCUAGAUGGUUCUCCAGGUGCCACCUUCACCAUGGUCACACUUGAGGAAGCAAGGAACAACACCAAGGGAAGACACAGGUUGAUGUGGAAACGUUCUAGAACUAUUCAGGAAAUAAACGGCCAAUUCUGACAUCAUUUCAAAGUUGAACGAGAUUACUUGGAGCCGUUGUCUUAGCAAAUCUUUAAGGUUUUGAUUUACGUUAUUCUCACAAGUGAUGACUGUAAUAAAAACGCCAACUAUUGGUGCCGUUGUUAUCUAGUAGUAUCUCUAUGCUCGAUGCUUCCUUAGCUGAAAAUGGACUGCGAAUGGGAUUGGAAAAGGUUUAUU
Molecule: long non-coding RNA, 374 nt
Organism: Helianthus annuus (common sunflower)
Lineage: Eukaryota; Viridiplantae; Streptophyta; Magnoliopsida; Asterales; Asteraceae
Exons: 2
Source: RefSeq, a predicted model, not a curated record